Long non-coding RNA from Alligator sinensis (Chinese alligator), 1501 nucleotides. RefSeq lists it as uncharacterized. The record is from RefSeq and is a predicted model, not a curated record. The transcript has 3 exons. NCBI's taxonomy places the organism in Eukaryota, Metazoa, Chordata, Crocodylia, Alligatoridae.
CUGAAGCUUUUUGAUAACACAGGUCUGCUCUCCCAAGGUACUCAAACUGUUUGGAGAAGGAAGCAGCCUUAGUCUUUUUGUGCAUUUCCAAACCACACUGGAAGCUUUCUGAGGUUUAUGCAUCGUCGUGUAUAAAUUAUAAGAACAUAAGGAGAAUUGUGGGAAGGCUUUGGAAGAUGGUCAUCACUAAUCCGCACUGCAGAGUGAAUGGCUUCGUGCCCUAUUUGGAAGCCACAAGGUUCUAUCCUACACCACCUGCCAGAUCUCCCAACUCAAGCUAAUGGCAUCUCCAUGCCAGGAUUCUCGUCGUUGGAGCCCUUCCUAGCACAGCUUAUUCAGUGCAUGGUGGAGUCCAGGCCCACACUCUGAGCCACGGAGCAGCUUUGUAGUACUGGGCUCUUUUCAUCUGGAGUUAUGCUCGUUGGUUUGUCAUAAUAUAAACACAGUGGGUGCUCCCUUAGGGCUCUCAUCUGGGCCCAAUGCUGCUUUCGUUAGACACAUUAGUGCUCUCUCAGCUUUUUCUCACGUUGCAUUAUCAACUGUUUUCAUUGUGAUCUUGAUGACAGAUAUUAUGAAGGAUCCACCCUUUCAGGAUUUAAAAAUUUGGGACUCUCUAAUUAAGAAAAACAGUGCUUGUACCUUCUAGCUAAAGAAGAGACCUCAGUACUGCGGUAUUCUGUUUCCAAACUCUGGCCGUAGAGAGAAAACCUGCUGGAACCCUGAUUUCUCCUGCUUGACCAGCAGGCUCCUCAGUCCCCAAGGUUUCUGUGCCACCAUCAGUAUACCUCAAAAGUGGUAAUAUGGAUAUCUUAACAUUGUUCAAAAGCAAGAUCUGAAAAGACUCCACAGUUACUGGUGCCCUCUGAAUACUGGUGGAUAAGAUUUUCGCACUGGAGAUAAUAAUGUACUAUGCAAUUAAAACUUUGCUGCAAGGGUGAGACAUUUCAAGGGCAAUAGAACAAAAAAUAAAUCUGAAGCCGUAUAUUGAAGAGAUGAUUACAUCUGCCUCAUAUAAUUUGAGGCACAUAAGAGUCAUUCUAUCCUUUGCCAAGUACCUGGGGCUCUGACAUUCCCGUCUAAGAGCAGAAUACCAGUAGGCCUCUUUGCACUGCCUUUAGACUGCAGUUUGUGGACAGCAUAGUGACGCUCUAGCCACACAUGGUGGCACCUAUUCUAAAGAUGCGUUAUAAAAUGUUAACUAGUUUGCAGAACCUGCCUAAGGCUUGUUCUGGGGUCCUAUCAUCGUGUUCUCUCCCUUGCAUGCUUUUAUGGGUUUCUACAUAAUUUCCUAAUGCCUAGUGCAGAGAUGUGAACAGCAGACCUUUUCCAGAAGGCAGGUGCAUUUACAGUCAAAUAACUUGAACAGGGAAUAAAGCUUGGUCUCUUAUGCUCCUGUUUCUCAUGUUUAUUAGGGCUGGAUGAAAAUAUUUCCUUUGUGGGCAAAACCAUCAUCUCAUCUGUGCUAAGGGAAAAUACCUAAUUUUUGCCUUGAGAGAACAAA